Molecule: ribosomal RNA, 1170 nt
Filed under: Streptomyces lividans TK24
Lineage: Bacteria; Bacillati; Actinomycetota; Actinomycetes; Kitasatosporales; Streptomycetaceae
Description: bacterial LSU rRNA
Rfam family: Bacterial large subunit ribosomal RNA
Source: RNAcentral
CCGCCAUUCCCACAUCUCCAGCGGGCCGGGCGCCUCCACCCCGGCGAGCAGCCGGCUGAAGCUGCCGGCGUCGGUGUGCCAGAGGCGGACGGCCUCGUCGGCGGGGACGACGCGGACCGCGGGCCCCUGUUCCCAGUCGAGCAGGGUGGUGAAGCUGACGCCGAGGGCGUCGCCGAUCUUCACAAUAUAACCGAGGCUGGGGUUGGAAAUUCCUUGUCGGAUCUGUUCCGACCUGCACGAAUGGCGUAACGACUUCUCGACUGUCUCAACCAUAGGCCCGGUGAAAUUGCACUACGAGUAAAGAUGCUCGUUUCGCGCAGCAGGACGGAAAGACCCCGGGACCUUUACUACAGUUUGAUAUUGGUGUUCGGUUCGGCUUGUGUAGGAUAGCUGGGAGACUUUGAAGCUCGCACGCCAGUGUGGGUGGAGUCGUCGUUGAAAUACCAGUCUGGUCGUGCUGGAUGUCUAACCUGGGUCCGUGAUCCGGAUCAGGGACAGUGUCUGAUGGGUAGUUUAACUGGGGCGGUUGCCUCCUAAAGAGUAACGGAGGCGCCCAAAGGUUCCCUCAGCCUGGUUGGCAAUCAGGUGUUGAGUGUAAGUGCACAAGGGAGCUUGACUGUGAGACCGACGGGUCGAGCAGGGACGAAAGUCGGGACUAGUGAUCCGGCGGUGGCUUGUGGAAGCGCCGUCGCUCAACGGAUAAAAGGUACCCCGGGGAUAACAGGCUGAUCUUCCCCAAGAGUCCAUAUCGACGGGAUGGUUUGGCACCUCGAUGUCGGCUCGUCGCAUCCUGGGGCUGGAGUCGGUCCCAAGGGUUGGGCUGUUCGCCCAUUAAAGCGGUACGCGAGCUGGGUUUAGAACGUCGUGAGACAGUUCGGUCCCUAUCCGCUGUGCGCGUAGGAGUCUUGAGAAGGGCUGUCCCUAGUACGAGAGGACCGGGACGGACGAACCUCUGGUGUGCCAGUUGUCCUGCCAAGGGCAUGGCUGGUUGGCUACGUUCGGGAGGGAUAACCGCUGAAAGCAUCUAAGCGGGAAGCCUGCUUCGAGAUGAGGACUCCCACCCCCUUGAGGGGUUAAGGCUCCCAGUAGACGACUGGGUUGAUAGGCCGGAUCUGGAAGCACCGUGAGGUGUGGAGGUGACCGGUACUAAUAGGCCGAGGGCUUGUCCUC